GCUACGCACAGUCGACUAAGGCCUACCUGCAUGAGUUAACCAUCUUGCGACGAAAUGUCAGAAAAGGCACCAGAGUGAAUAAAAACAGUAUAGAAAGGAGAAAAUAGAUAAACAAAAGGCAAACGGAUGAAUUGAGUUGGAUAGUUUUUGAAAGUGUAUUGAAAUUUACAGAGAAAUCGUUAGAAUUUCUAAAAGGAAUUUAUUGGUAAUAUUUUAAAAAUUGUAUAAUUAAAGAAUAAUGUUGACCAAUCGAUGUUUUGAUAGCCGCUGAUAGCCAAAUAACUGCUGGAUCCUGAGAGACCUGAAAAAAAGAAAAAUAUUGUAAAAUUAAUAAAGAAACUGUAAAAUGUAAGUAGAACCUGAAAAGAAAAGAAAUGAGAUUAAUUAAAUACAUAAAAUUUCAGUUUCAAGCUGCGAAACAAGAAAAUUGCUGCUUUGAAAAUUAGUUUGUUGUGACGACCCCGAACAAACUUGAAAAUUUUACAAUGGCAGAAUUGACCCUUUCACCCGAAGCUGCCGAAAAGACGGGUUACAAUUGUGCCGCUUGUGAGCGACCGGAUCACGCAGAGAAGGAUAUGGUGUUUUGUGACCAAUGUCAAAACUGGUAUCAUUUUGGAUGUGCCGGUGUAACGAAUGCGGUAAAGGACGAUUCAUCGUGGAUAUGCGGCAAGUGCAUGAAAAAUGCCGCUGGUAGUUCCGUGACGUCAGAGUUGGAGCAAGAAUUGAAAAGGCUCGAGGAAGAAAAAAGAGUCCAACAGCUAGCUAUGGAGAAGGAAAGAGUCCUGCAUAAACGGCGCCUGGAGCUGCAGCAGGAAAUGUUUCUGAUGCGAAAAAAACUGGAACAGGAGAAACGCGAAAUGGAGUUAGCCUUCGAAAAAGAGCAGUUGGAGAAGGAAAUCGCUGAGGAAGAAUCGUUCCAGAAGAAAAGUGAGCAGAUGAGAAAGGAGAUGCACGGUAAAUUGAAUAAGCUUAGACAGCAACGGAGCAAGGAUUUCGAUAGUGGUGUGAAAGAAAAAACGGAAGAAGCUGAAGGUUGUGAAGAUGAUUGCUCGAGUGACAAAGAAAAGCCGAAGCAGUCGGGACUGGAGAAAACAAAGCCAGGAAAAGCAGAAACCGAAAAAAAAAAGGUCGGAAAAAGGCAAACCUGGGAAAAUGGAUCUGGUCGAGACUGGCAACGGAGAUUUUCGAGGAGCAUAUCAAAAAUACUCCACUCCAAAAACAUGUUUAGUUCCGUUGGUCACAUCGCCAUCAUUGGAGGAAAUUCCGCCUGUCGACGCGGAAUCCGUAAAAGGUGAUACACAGGAAAAGAUCGAAAGUAAGAAGAACGACGCGGUUUCAAAUGACGUGCGAGAAGCAAAUGAGGACGAUAGUGAAUCCAGCGAAUCAAAUGAGGAUCACGAAUCGGUGACAGUACAAGCUGGUCAAAACAAGCAACAAAGAUGUCGUCGAGGACCUACCAAAGCUCAGCUGUCCGCCAGGCAGUUCCUGUCGAAGAAGUUGCCGGUAUUUUCCGGAAAGUUAGAGGACUGGCCGAUGUUCAUCUGCAGCUACGAAACAUCUAGCGAGGCUUGUGGGUUUUCGAAUGUCGAGAACCUGGCUCGACUACAAGAGUGCUUGAAGGGCCAAGCAUUGGAAGCAGUUCGUAGUAGGCUCCUACUUCCAGACGCAGUUCCACAGAUCAUUGAGACUCUCCGGAUGUUGUACGGUCGCCCGGAGCACCUUCUAAAUAUGCUAUUGGUGAAGGUGAGAAAGGCUCUCCCACCGAGAGCAGAUCGUUUGAUAACGUUCAUCAAUUUCGGGAUGAUUGUCCAGCAGCUUGCAGAUCACCUGGAAGCAACGAAGCUUACUUCUCAUCUUCUGAAUCCCAUGCUGAUUCAGGAGAUUACCGAAAAGUUGCCCGCAAGUACACAACUUGAGUGGGUGCGGUAUAGAAGGAGAGACCGUGUAGUCACGAUUCGAACUUUAGCCAACUUUCUGUCCGAAAUCGUGAAAGACGCCAGCGAGGUGACGUCAUACUGUGAAGCACCUGUAGUUGUAGACCACGCCAAUCGAAAGUCCAGAGGAAAGGAUAAAGAGCACGAAGGUUUCCUCCAUGCCCACUGUGGACAAGAAAACGCCAACAAAACUCAGGCGCCGAGGGUGAGAAAGCCAUGUAUGAUUUGCGACCGUACUGAUCACCGGGUAAGAAAUUGUGUAGCCUUCCGGAACCUCUCCGUACCACAUCGUUUGGAAGCGGUGCGUAAAUGGAAGUUGUGCUCGAUGUGUCUCAAUGAGCAUGGAAAUGCCCGCUGUAAGCUGAAUUUCCGCUGUAAUGUCGGGACCUGUAGAGAGCCUCACCAUCCUUUACUCCACGCGGCAGGCCCGGAAUCGGGAUCGAACUGCAACUUUCAUUCGUUUCAACGCAAGCAAUCGGUGAUUUUUCGAAUGAUUCCGGUCACAUUGCACUGGGGAAAUCAUACAGUGAACACAGUGGCUUUCCUGGACGAGGGGUCGUCCUACACAUUGGUGGAGAAGUCGGUGGCUAGCGCUCUUAGGACGAAUGGUGUAACGCAACCACUUCGUGUGACGUGGACGGCUGGAAUGUCCCGAUUGGAAAGGAACUCGCAGAAAGUAGAACUGUAUAUUUCGGCUCGAGGUUCAAGUCGCCGGUUCCACAUAAAAGCAGCUCAUACCGUGGAUAACUUGAGGCUUCCCCAGUCGACGCUAGCCCUGACGGAAGUAGUCAAGCAGUAUCCCCAUCUUCAAGAUCUAUCCGUGGUGGAUUUCCAACAUACUGUUCCGCAAAUUCUGAUCGGACUGAAAGACGUUCACUUGUGUGCACCGUUAGAAUCACGAAUCGGGAAAGCGGAAGAGCCAAUCGCUGUGCGGUCCAAGCUUGGUUGGACCAUAUUCGGACCUGUAAGCGGUGGUGUUGAGUCGAGCAUCGUUGGUCAUCAUGCGUGCAGCAGUGUUUCGAACGAGGACCUCCACGAUCUGUUGAAGAGCCACUACACGCUAGAAGAGUCUGGCAUUUCGGUUGCGCUGCUACCGGAAAGCGAAGAGGAUAGGAGAGCGAAAGAUAUCCUGACGCAAACGACGGUAAGAGUAGGUGAUCGUUUUGAGACGGGGUUAUUAUGGAGAUAUGAUAGUCCGUGCUUCCCCGACAGCUAUCCUAUGGCUGUGAAAAGGCUCAAGAGUUUAGAGAGACGUUUAUUGAAGGACAAUGAACUGUACGAUAAAGUACGGUGCAUGGUCUCGGAGUACCUAACCAAGGGCUAUGCGCACAAAGCUUCAGAGUUGGAGCUAGCAGACACCAACCAGAGUAAGGUGUGGUAUUUGCCAUUGAACGUGGUUAUUAAUCCGAAGAAACCGGGUAAAGUCCGCCUUGUUUGGGACGCAGCUGCGGCUGUAGCUGGGGUGUCCCUGAAUUCAAAACUCUUGAAGGGUCCCGAUAUGCUGACUGCUCUCCCAGCAGUUAUUUGCAAGUUUCGAGAGAAAAAAGUGGGUUUUGGUGCAGACAUCAAAGAGAUGUAUCAUCAGUUGAAAAUUCGAAAAGAAGAUAAGCAAGCGCAGAGGUUCCUGUUCCGAGAGAAUCCAGCCAGCGCUCCGGAGGUAUUUAUUAUGGACGUUGCUACCUUUGGGGCGACCAGUUCACCUUGCUCCGCCCAGUUUGUGAAGAACAUGAAUGCAAAGGAGUUCGCAGGGCGGUUUCCAGAGGCAGCGAGAGCGAUUCUAGAGAACCAUUACGUCGAUGAUUAUUUCGAUAGCACGGAGACAGUCGAGGAAGCAGUGAAGCUGGCGAAGGAGGUAACGUUUGUUCAUUCAAAGGGCGGCUUCGAGCUUCGAAAUUGGGUCUCUAGUUCAGAGGUGUUCCUGCGAGAAAUGGGGGAGACAAAAGAAAAUCAAUGUGUUCAUUUUAAUCAAGACAAGGAAACAGGGCAAGAAAGGGUCUUGGGAAUAGUGUGGAAUUCAGUAAGCGACGAGUUUACGUUCUCAGCAAGGUUACGUGAAGAUUUGCUGCCGUACCUGAUAGGAGAGAGGCGGCCCACGAAAAGGGGGGUCAUGAGCUGCAUCAUGAGCUUGUUCGAUCCCAUUGGGUUUUUGGCUUCCUUCACUAUUUAUGGAAAAAUGCUUAUUCAAGAUCUUUGGCGCAGUGGAUGUGCCUGGGACCAGCAGAUCAACGACGAGUGUAGCGAGAAAUGGAAUCGUUGGGUCGGUCGGCUUCCAGAAAUCGAAAGAGUGCGGAUCCCUCGUUAUCACUUCACGGGAGGAUUAUCUGUGGACUACAGUACGUUGCAACUACACGUUCUUGUCGAUGCUAGUGAGAAUGCAUAUGGUGCUGUUGCAUAUUUCCGUGUCAUGACUGCUUCUGGUCCUAUUUGUUCGCUUGUGAUGGCACGUUCCAAGGUUGCACCUUUGAAGCAGCUGUCAAUUCCGCGCCUGGAACUACAGGCCGCGGUACUAGGUUCUAGAUUGCUAAAUUCCAUCAUCGAUAACCAUUCCGUAGAGGUGAAACAGCGGUUUAUUUGGACAGAUUCGAGGACAGUACUUUCUUGGAUCCACUCGGAUCAGCGACGCUACAAGCAAUUCGUUGCUUUCCGAAUUGGUGAAAUCCUUAGUCUCACGAAGCUCGAUGAAUGGCGGUGGGUUUCCACUAGAAACAACAUCGCUGACGACCUAACCAAAUGGGAUCGAGGACACAAUCUAAAUUCGAACGGUCCUUGGUUUCGGGGUCCACAUUUCCUGUUCCAUCAGGAAGAUUCCUGGCCAGAACAGAAGCGCGUAACACCGAAUGUGCCUGAAGAGAUACGUGCCCACAUACUGUUCCACGACAUUUCACUGUCAGAACCUGUAAUCGAUCCGUUGCGUUUUUCAAGAUGGAAGGUCUUAGUUCGAACGAUAGCCUGCGUCUACCGGUUUGUUUCGAACUGCAAGCGAAAAAAGGAAGGAUGGGCCAUCGAAGGUGUACCAACGACCGAUGCUCUCAAGAGAAAAGUAAAGGCAAAAAUUGCAUCUACGGUAGUUCCUUUGCAACGAGACGAAUACCAAAAAUCAGAAGCAUAUUUGUGGCGAUUCGCACAAGCGGAAGCAUACGGGGAUGAGGUGAAAACUCUCCAGAAAAAUCUUAAAGUGGGGAACGAGAAACAACGACAGCUGGAAAAAUCGAGCAGUCUAUACAGUCUGAGCCCAUUCUUGGAUGCACAGAACGUUCUUCGGAUGGAAGGGAGAACCGCACAAGGUACGUUCUUACCGUUCGAACUACGUUUCCCAAUUAUACUCCCUAAAGGACAUCCAGUUACCGUUAAACUUCUGGAACAUUAUCAUCAGAGAGUGGCACACGGCAAUCAAGAAACGGCGGUAAAUGAAAUACGACAAAGGUUUUGGAUUCCCAAUCUCCGAGCGGAACUCAAACGUAUUUCAAGAGCUUGCAUGCGAUGCAAGGUGAGGAAAUGUGAGCCAGGUCAUCCGAGAAUGGCUCCUCUUCCGAUUUCGCGGAUCUCGCCUGGAUUGCAGCCGUUCAGCUACACAGGGGUGGAUUAUUGUGGUCCAUUGACUGUCUCCGUCGGGCGCAGAUCAGAGAAAAGGUGGAUUUGUUUGUUCACGUGUUUGACGACGAGAGCUAUUCACAUUGAGGUUGCUCAUAGUCUGACGACUCAAUCGUGCCUGAUGGCCAUACGGCGAUUCGUGAGCUACAGAGGAGGUCCUCUUGAAUUCUUCUCAGAUAAUGGGACGAAUUUCCAUGGCGCCAGCAAAGAAAUUGUUAAGCAGAUGGAGAUUAAUUGUGAAGAUGUGUUCACCGAUUCGAGAACCAGAUGGAAUUUCAAUCCGCCUUCCGCACCUCAUAUGGGUGGGGUGUGGGAGCGAAUGGUGCGCUCCGUUAAGACGGCGUUGAAAGCGUUGGAUGAUGGCCGCCGAAUGACGGACGAAGUACUCCUGACCGUGUUGGCAGAAGCGGUGGAUUUAAUCAAUUCUCGGCCACUGACAUACGCUGGCCUGGAACCUGAUGCAAAGGAAGCGCUAACACCAAACCAUUUUGUUCGCGGCGUAGGACUAAUGAGUUCUGAGUCGUUUAUCAGACCUACCAAUGAAGCAGAGGCACUGCGGGACAGCUUCAAGCGGUCACAGUUUUUGGCUGAUUGUUUGUGGAAACGAUGGACUUCUGAGUAUCUCCCGACGAUCAAUCAUCGCAGCAAAUGGCACUCUGAAAUGCCUCCUAUUGCAAAAGGUGAUCUUGUGUAUAUUGCGGACGAGAAUAUCCGAAAGCAUUGGGUUAGAGGGGUUGUAACCGAGGUAUUCAGUGGUGCUGAUGGUAGGAUCAGACAGGCUUUGGUGAAAACAGCAAAGGGUGAGUUCAGGCGGCCGGUGGUGAAGCUUGCGGUGCUUGAAGUCCAGGGUCGUAAAUCUACUGCGGCUGACGCUUUCGCACCAGAGUUACGGGGAGGGGCUAUGUACACACCGCUACGCACAGUCGACUAAGGCCUACCUGCAUGAGUUAACCAUCUUGCGACGAAAUGUCAGAAAAGGCACCAGAGUGAAUAAAAACAGUAUAGAAAGGAGAAAAUAGAUAAACAAAAGGCAAACGGAUGAAUUGAGUUGGAUAGUUUUUGAAAGUGUAUUGAAAUUUACAGAGAAAUCGUUAGAAUUUCUAAAAGGAAUUUAUUGCCGCUGAUAGCCAAAUAACUGCUGGAUCCUGAGAGACCUGAAAAAAAGAAAAAUAUUGUAAAAUUAAUAAAGAAACUGUAAAAUGUAAGUAGAACCUGAAAAGAAAAGAAAUGAGAUUAAUUAAAUACAUAAAAUUUCAGUUUCAAGCUGCGAAACAAGAAAAUUGCUGCUUUGAAAAUUAGUUUGUUGUGACGACC
Molecule: RNA transcript, 6839 nt
Organism: Toxorhynchites rutilus septentrionalis
Lineage: Eukaryota; Metazoa; Arthropoda; Insecta; Diptera; Culicidae
Exons: 2
Source: RefSeq, a predicted model, not a curated record